This 251-nucleotide small RNA is filed under the name Klebsiella oxytoca. RNAcentral describes it as "Erse small RNA". The record is from RNAcentral. Lineage: Bacteria; Pseudomonadati; Pseudomonadota; Gammaproteobacteria; Enterobacterales; Enterobacteriaceae.
CGGCUGAACUGCUCGCCCCGUAUACCGGGGAUGUGGUUGCGGAAGGCUUUAGUAAAGUAUUCCGCGGCGGUGCUCGUUUUCUUCUGCGUGGCGCUCAGCGCCAGCAGCGCUAUGUUGCGGAAGCGAUUACCGAAGAGUGGCGCCUGGCGCCGGGUCCGCUGGAGCUGGCCUGGUUUGCUGAAGAAACCACAGCCGUUGAGCGAGCGCUGGCCGCGCUGGAAAAACGGCUGGAAACGCUGGAGGGCAAAUGA